Molecule: unclassified non-coding RNA, 24 nt
Filed under: Chlamydomonas reinhardtii
Lineage: Eukaryota; Viridiplantae; Chlorophyta; Chlorophyceae; Chlamydomonadales; Chlamydomonadaceae
Description: small RNA Cre_0347
Source: RNAcentral
ACGUAAUGCCAUAGCAAUCUAUGU